GAUGAACGCUGGCGGCGUGCCUAACACAUGCAAGUCGAGCGAACAGACCAGGAGCUUGCUCCUCUCACGUUAGCGGCGGACGGGCGAGUAACACGUGGAUAACCUACCUAUCUGUCUGGGAUAACUUCGGGAAACCGGAUCUAAUACCGGAUAAUAUAUUGCACCGCAUGGUUCAAUAGUGAGAUUCGGUUUUUCUGUCACUUAUAGAUGGAUCCGGGCCGCUUUAGAUAGUGGGGAAGGUAACGGCAUACCAAGGCAACGAUGCGUAGCCGACCUGAGAGGGGGAUCGGCCCCACCGGAACUGAGACGCGGUCCCGACUCCUACGGGAGGCAGCGGUAGGGAAUGGUACGCAAUGGGCGGGAGCUUGACGGAGCAACGCCGCGUGGGUGAUAGAGGUCUUCGGAUCGUAAAACUCUAUUAUUAGGGAAGAACAAAUGUGUAAGUAACGAUGCACGUAUUGACGGUACCGAAUCAGAAAGCCACGGCUAACUACGUG
This 497-nucleotide ribosomal RNA is filed under the name uncultured bacterium. RNAcentral's name for it is "partial 16S ribosomal RNA". It matches the Rfam family "Bacterial small subunit ribosomal RNA", at positions 28 to 507 of the family's 1533-position model. The record is from RNAcentral.